This is a long non-coding RNA of Limulus polyphemus (Atlantic horseshoe crab), 1461 nucleotides long. RefSeq lists it as uncharacterized. The transcript is spliced from 3 exons. The record is from RefSeq and is a predicted model, not a curated record. NCBI's taxonomy places the organism in Eukaryota, Metazoa, Arthropoda, Merostomata, Xiphosura, Limulidae.
UCUCGAUAGAAGUUAUCCAAAUGAUUGUUUUCCACAUAUUUAAGACAUUUUAAAUAAUGAAUAUUAAGGGUGUUCGAGAUUACUUUUAGCUAAAAGUAUUUUCUCAUGAUACUCUUCAACAAAAUCCAUAACUUUUCUUUUAAAAGUUAUUAGAUAGCUUGUUAGUAAUACUAUUAUCAGUUUAACUGGUACAUCGACUGAUUCCGUGGUUUAUCUACCAAAUGUACAACUAUAUAAUCCUAGCUGUAAAGAUAACCUGUGUGUGUUUGAUUGUUCGAGAGAAAAACCACAUUGGGCCAUCUGCUGUGUCCACCACGGGGAAUCGAACUCUUGAUUUUACCGUUGUAAGUCCAAAACCUUAACGCUGUCCCACCGGGGAACAUGUGCUGUAUGAUCGGGCUUGAUCUCUCUAAACGUUGGAUCUCGGCCAAAGUUACAAGUGACAUUCAAAAAGCACAAGAGAAGCAGAAAAAUGAAGUAUAAGAAAAGUAGGGAAAAGAGGGGAGGGUAAAAUGUGUCAGUUUCAACCCUGUGACGAGGUGCUAAGCAGAAAUACUGACCGAGAAAGGCCAUAAACUAGAGUAUUCGUGGAAAGGUCAAUAUGAAACUGUUGGGAUUACCAACAAAGGGGUGGCCAGACUGACAAUGAACGAAAAUAAGAAAUCUCGGUUUUGGCUGUUCGCCGGUUUUCGACUUUGAGACACUCUGGAUACCUGAAAAGUGGCAUAUACACCGGAGAUAGGGCUACUAUGCCAAGUAGCUCUUCAUAUCUAGCUUCUGAUGACUUUUGUAUUGCUUUAAUAUGGAAUGCUAGCGCAUUUUCCGAUACUUUUACUCUGUAAUGAGUAAAGGAUUCAAACAUAUCGCAUAUUUUACAUUUUCAAAUAUAAUAUUCUUUCACCAAUAUAAAACUCCAAUAAGCAGAUAUCGUUAAUAUAUGUUAGUUAAUUCAUAGGCUUAACGAGACUGAAACAAGUAUUAACGAAAUUUCAAGUUUUAAAUACACGAUAAUCAAUUGAAAUAAAUAACACAGCAUUACCUUUAAGCGUUCUUCUGUUUGUAAGUAACGACAUACAUAUCCUUUUAACAAAAAAUAUAGGACACACAUGGUUCUACUAAAUACAGUCUGCCAUUACGUCAUGUUAUUUUACGAGAACUUUUCGACUCUAGCAAAUUGUAAGGAACAAACAAACACACACACACACACUAUUUUUGAUUUAAUGUAGCAAAUUUCUAAUCCUGGUAGCAACUUCCUGUGAAGGUUUGCCAAAAACAUCCUGCUCGUCAAUGUUACGUCAUCAACGUUGUGAGUUUUCACUUCUAGAUUUAAUCAUAUGUCCUAAAAACUUACAAGUAAAUUAUUUUCUGAACGAAACCGUUAGUAUAGCUGAUUGUGCAUUCAGUUAAUAAAUAAUUGAUCACGUGUCAUAAAAGUUUUGUAUACUUUACCAGUAAAAUCAU